RNAcentral lists this ribosomal RNA (253 nucleotides) under uncultured bacterium. RNAcentral describes it as "partial 16S ribosomal RNA". It matches the Rfam family "Bacterial small subunit ribosomal RNA", at positions 524 to 776 of the family's 1533-position model. The record is from RNAcentral.
UACGAAGGGGGCUAGCGUUGCUCGGAAUCACUGGGCGUAAAGCGCACGUAGGCGGAUUGCUAAGUCAGGGGUGAAAUCCUGGAGCUCAACUCCAGAACUGCCUUUGAUACUGGCGAUCUUGAAUCCGGGAGAGGUGAGUGGAAUUCCGAGUGUAGAGGUGAAAUUCGUAGAUAUUCGGAAGAACACCAGUGGCGAAGGCGGCUCACUGGACCGGCAUUGACGCUGAGGUGCGAAAGCGUGGGGAGCAAACAGG